Molecule: long non-coding RNA, 605 nt
Organism: Setaria italica (foxtail millet)
Lineage: Eukaryota; Viridiplantae; Streptophyta; Magnoliopsida; Poales; Poaceae
Exons: 2
Source: RefSeq, a predicted model, not a curated record
UCGUAAUCUUGUAUAAUUGAGUUGCUGCAUCUCUCUAAACUUGACUUCGUGUAUGUGUCAUCACCAUUCAAUCAACUCAUACAUAUGCAUUUUCAUGUAGAUAACCCGCUAGUCGACGGUCUAUAUGAAUUGAUCGCCGUGCCUGAGAGUGAGCAACGUGAAGCCUCUCCUAUUGAAACAUCUCAAGACCUGAACCAAAGUUCAGAAAAGCCCAAGGCUAAUUGGGAAGGCAAGCCUUGGAGCAUAACUCCUAAUUUCAAAACUAUGUAUUAGUGAAGAAAUGAUAGAGUUGGUGGCCGGUCAACCUUGGGAUGGCCAUCCUUUACCUGAAGGGUGGUCGGUUGAGUGGUCUCCGGCCUCACUUUGAGGUGGUCUCGUGUUGGAUGACAUGUGGCGACCUACUCAUGUCGUCACGUAUCUUUAUUCACGCUUUAUCAUUUAGACUUUCAUUGUAUUUUAUUUAAAGAACUCUGGCUUGUAAUCUUUAUGAAUUUUGAACUCGGUUUAUAAAUUAAUUAUGAACUAUAUGUUUGUAAACUGGAAUGCUAUGUUGUAUCAUCUGCGUUCACCUUCGUGUGAGACUUGUUGCAUGUUGUUUUGAUCAA